Molecule: transfer RNA, 84 nt
Filed under: Rhodococcus sp. T7
Lineage: Bacteria; Bacillati; Actinomycetota; Actinomycetes; Mycobacteriales; Nocardiaceae
Description: tRNA-Arg
Source: RNAcentral
GCCCGACCUGGGCAACGGGCGCGUCGUCCGCUACGACCGGACGGACGCCGCACCGCCGCGGGUGUUCGACGCUGUCGGCGGGUU